Molecule: long non-coding RNA, 442 nt
Organism: Bactrocera latifrons
Lineage: Eukaryota; Metazoa; Arthropoda; Insecta; Diptera; Tephritidae
Exons: 3
Source: RefSeq, a predicted model, not a curated record
GCUGUGCCUGUGUUCGGGGCGAGCGUUCUAGCACAUCGAGCGGCGUACAGAGAACCGGGCGCACUUCCAGGCGCAGUUAUGGUCCCGGCGUGUUCACGCCCCGAUGUUUUGAAGGCAACUGCAGCGUAAGCGAAGCUGAAGAUCUGAGCAGCCAAAGCAUCUAUUCCUGCUUCAAGGAGCUCCACCAAUUGUGUCAUUGAUCGUGUCUAGAAAUUAAUUCAUCUAGACUCGUCGAUGUCCCAUGUAUCACAUAUACAUACAUACACAUAUACAUGUUUGCAGUUUUAUAUGAAAACGUUUGUCGAGUGUUGCACUGGGAUGCGCUUCCUUAGCAGAUAAGACGACAACAAUGCAUUGCUUAGAAAUUCUUGAAAUAAUUAUUUUUAGACGAAUACCGAUAUGAGUGGAAAUUCGAAAUACUGGAAAUGCAUUUCUACUUUCA